GACGAACGCUGGCGGCGCGCUUAACACAUGCAAGUCGAGCGAAGCGGCGGACGGGUGAGUAACACGUGAGUAACCUGCCUUAGACAUUGGGCUAGCCUCGGGAAACCGGGAUUAAUACCAAAUGGUCUAAGAGGGACUCGCGUCGCAUUAGCUAGUUGGUGAGGUAACGGCCCACCAAGGAGACGAGGGGUAGCCGGCAUGAGAGGGUGAACGGCGACGUUGGAACUGAGAAACGGUCCAAACUCUACGGGAGGCAGGAGUGGGGAAUAUUGCACAAUGGAGGGAACUCUGAUGCAGCGACGCCGCGUGAACGAAGAAGGCUUUCGAGACGUAAAGUUCUUUUAUAUGGGAAGCGGUACCAUAAGAAAAAGCCCCGGCUAACUACGGGCCAGCAGCCGCGGUAAUAC
Molecule: ribosomal RNA, 407 nt
Filed under: uncultured bacterium
Lineage: Bacteria
Description: partial 16S ribosomal RNA
Rfam family: Bacterial small subunit ribosomal RNA
Source: RNAcentral